AGCAAUACCUGAGUACAGCGGCGCACGGGUGAGUAACACGUGGANAACCUGCCUCAAAGUGGGGAAUAACACCGGGAAACCGGUGCUAAUACCGCAUAUUCUGACGAAGUCUGCGGAUUUUGUCAGGAAAGGAGCAAUUCGCUAUGAGAGGGGUCCGCGGCUGAUUAGCUAGUUGGUGAGGUAAUGGCUCACCAAGGCCACGAUCAGUAGCCGGUCUGAGAGGACGGUCGGCCACACUGGAACUGAGACACGGUCCAGACUCCUACGGGAGGCAGCAGUGGGGAAUUUUUCGCAAUGGGGGCAACCCUGACGAAGCAAUGCCGCGUGGAUGAUGAAGUAUCUCGGUACGUAAAAUCCUUUCGACGGGGACGAAGCCGCAAGGUUGACGGUACCCGUAGAAGAAGCCCCGGCUAACUCCGUGCCAGCAGCCGCGGUAAUACGGGGGGGGCAAGCGUUGUUCGGAAUUACUGGGCGUAAAGGGUGCGUANGCNGCUUUCUAAGUCGGAUGUGAAAACUCUGGGCUCAACCCAGAGCCUGCAUCCGAAACUGGAGAGCUAGGUUCUGGAGGGGAAAGCGGAAUUCCUGGUGUAGCGGUGAAAUGCGUAGAUAUCAGGAGGAACACCGGUGGCGAAGGCGG
RNAcentral lists this ribosomal RNA (637 nucleotides) under uncultured Acidobacteriota bacterium. RNAcentral's name for it is "bacterial SSU rRNA". It matches the Rfam family "Bacterial small subunit ribosomal RNA", at positions 78 to 724 of the family's 1533-position model. Lineage: Bacteria; Pseudomonadati; Acidobacteriota. The record is from RNAcentral.